UACGGAGGGUGCAAGCGUUAUCCGGAUUCACUGGGUUUAAAGGGUGCGUAGGUGGGCAGGUAAGUCAGUGGUGAAAUCUCCGGGCUUAACUCGGAAACUGCCAUUGACACUAUCUGUCUUGAAUACCGUGGAGGUCAGCGGAAUAUGUCAUGUAGCGGUGAAAUGCUUAGAUAUGACAUAGAACACCAAUUGCGAAGGCAGCUGGCUACACGAAUAUUGACGCUGAGGCACGAAAGCGUGGGGAUCAAACAGG
RNAcentral lists this ribosomal RNA (253 nucleotides) under uncultured bacterium. RNAcentral's name for it is "partial 16S ribosomal RNA". It matches the Rfam family "Bacterial small subunit ribosomal RNA", at positions 524 to 776 of the family's 1533-position model. The record is from RNAcentral.